GCAUAUCAAUAAGCGGAGGAAAAGAAACUAACAAGGAUUCCCCUAGUAACGGCGAGUGAAGCGGGAAGAGCUCAAAUUUGAAAUCUGGUAGCCUUCGGUUGCCCGAGUUGUAAUCUAGAGAAAUGUUUUCCGUGCCGGCCCAUGUACAAGUCCCUUGGAACAGGGCGUCAUAGAGGGUGAGAAUCCCGUCCUUGACAUGGACCCCCGGUGCUUUGUGAUACAUUUUCAACGAGUCGAGUUGUUUGGGAAUGCAGCUCAAAAUGGGUGGUGAAUUCCAUCUAAAGCUAAAUAUUGGCGAGAGACCGAUAGCGAACAAGUACCGUGAGGGAAAGAUGAAAAGCACUUUGGAAAGAGAGUUAAACAGUACGUGAAAUUGUUGAAAGGGAAACGAUUGAAGUCAGUCAUGCUCUUUGGUAUUUAUAUCAUUGAGUGGGGUCAACAUCAGUUUUGAUCGAUGGAUAAAGGCACUAGGAAGGUAGCACUCUCGGGUGAACUUAUAGCCUAGCGUCAUAUACAUUGAUUGGGACUGAGGAACGCAGCAUGCCUUUAUGGCCGGGAUUCGUCCACGUACAUGCUUAGGAUGUUGACAUAAUGGCUUUAAACGACCCGUCUUGAAACACGGACC
RNAcentral lists this ribosomal RNA (625 nucleotides) under Naganishia albidosimilis. RNAcentral's name for it is "eukaryotic LSU rRNA". It matches the Rfam family "Eukaryotic large subunit ribosomal RNA", at positions 38 to 667 of the family's 3401-position model. The record is from RNAcentral. Lineage: Eukaryota; Fungi; Basidiomycota; Tremellomycetes; Filobasidiales; Filobasidiaceae.